AUGAAGGAAGUGGAUGAAGGAAAAUCCAAGUUUUUGGACUACCACUUUGAAUUUGCUUAUGGUGAUACCUUGGAUAGGCUAUCACUACGCCCGACAAAUGCAUCUAAAGUCUUCCUGGACCCUGAAAUUCUAGAGACAGACCAAAUUAUUGAGAGGCAUUGUGAAAGCGAUGUUAUUCCAACAAUGGUUGGAAUUGACGAAAGCACCCAAGGAAUGAUUGAAGAGCAAAUACUUGAGAUGGAAUAUUCAAAUGAAAUAGUUGAAGAGCGUAUACUGGAAAGGCAAGACACACAAGGUUCUUCAAAUUUUGCUAUGCAGAAGUCCGAUAACAAGGUCAACCACUCCUCCAAGAAUGCAAGAAAUGAUGAGAAGGAGGAUAUAAAUAGCAGAAAACCAAUUGUUAAAAUCGAUGCUCCUGAUGACGAGCGAGACAACAAUAGUCACGCCGACAACAACUGUACCAGCACAGAUGACCGUAAUGAAGAAUGGAACGCCAAAACUAGAAGCAGAACAAAGAAGGAAAGGACCGAUUGCAUAAAGAGGAGGAAAAUAUCAUCUAAAGACAUGCAGCCAACCUUGUAUGAUAGACCUAAGAGGAUUAGGAGAGAACCAGCGAGAUACAUGGGCUAG
This 630-nucleotide ribosomal RNA is filed under the name Triticum aestivum (bread wheat). RNAcentral describes it as "partial small subunit ribosomal RNA". The record is from RNAcentral. Lineage: Eukaryota; Viridiplantae; Streptophyta; Magnoliopsida; Poales; Poaceae.